UAUUUAAUCCAUUUUUCUUUCUUUCAGGAAACCAGUUAUUUGAAGAACAUCACAUUGGAUUUGGCAAAUAUCCCAGACGUUUUUCUCAAUUUUUUUAAAAUUUAUUUACCUUUUCUUUUUGUUAUGCCAUGGUAAUGUUAUAUUUUCCUUGGUAAUGUCAUAUUUUAACUUUAAAGCAAUUUCCAUGUAAUCCCAUGUUUAGAGGUGUUCAUUACUGCAUUGUUGUCUGUAAAUAAUUUUUUGUUUCCUUUUCUUUGAAGGGUCCAGCAGUUAGAAGAUCCUGCACAGAACAUACAGCAGAUUGGACCUCAUGUAAGGAAGGAAGCAGAGCUUGGUCCAGGAGAAACUGACUGGGGAGGAACCGGACUGACCUGGACCCAGCCAUCCACAGAACAAUACAGCAGAUUGCGACCAUUUCUAAAAACACUUGUACCAUUCUGAUUUCCUUCCAGUACGUAAAUAUUAGAUCCGUAUGUUAAGUUGCAUUGUAUAUGUAAGAAAUGUAUAGUUUUUUUCAAUAUGUAUGUUUAGCUUCCAGUGUAUGGAAAUAUUAUGUAUGGAUUUAUAGUAUAUGUUACAUGUUUGUUUUAUGUAUUAUGCAUGUUUAGUUUUGUAGUACUUUAUAUAAGCCAAAUUGUAUAGUCUCCAUUUUUUUGCAAUUAGAGUUUAAAAUGUAUAAAAUUUCAUCAAAAUUAUUAUCUACAUACCUGCAAUAAGAUUGUCAAAUAAAUGUACCAUAUUUAAGUAAAAUGCUAUCCAAAUUCAGAGUACUUGUAAUUUUCAAAAGGGUAACAAGAUUGUAAGAGAACUGUAAGGUUUAAAAAAAUUGUUUAAUUAAAGCUGUCAAGAUGGA
This is a long non-coding RNA of Branchiostoma belcheri (Belcher's lancelet), 853 nucleotides long. RefSeq lists it as uncharacterized. The transcript has 2 exons. The record is from RefSeq and is a predicted model, not a curated record. NCBI's taxonomy places the organism in Eukaryota, Metazoa, Chordata, Leptocardii, Amphioxiformes, Branchiostomatidae.